GACGAACGCUGGCGGCGUGCUUAACACAUGCAAGUCGAACGGAAAGGCCCAGCUUUUGUGGGGUGCUCGAGUGGCGAACGGGUGAGUAACACGUGAGUAACCUGCCCUUGACUUUGGGAUAACUUCAGGAAACUGGGGCUAAUACCGGAUAGGAGCUCCUGCUGCAUGGUGGGGGAUGGAAAGUUUCGGCGGUUGGGGAUGGACUCGCGGCUUAUCAGCUUGUUGGUGGGGUAGUGGCUUACCAAGGCUUUGACGGGUAGCCGGCCUGAGAGGGUGACCGGCCACAUUGGGACUGAGAUACGGCCCAGACUCCUACGGGAGGCAGCAGUGGGGAAUAUUGCACAAUGGGCGGAAGCCUGAUGCAGCAACGCCGCGUGCGGGAUGACGGCCUUCGGGUUGUAAACCGCUUUCGCCUGUGACGAAGCGUGAGUGACGGUAAUGGGUAAAGAAGCACCGGCUAACUACGUG
This 468-nucleotide ribosomal RNA is filed under the name uncultured bacterium. RNAcentral's name for it is "partial 16S ribosomal RNA". It matches the Rfam family "Bacterial small subunit ribosomal RNA", at positions 28 to 507 of the family's 1533-position model. The record is from RNAcentral.